AAAUACUGACAAGUUCAAUAUUUUCUUUAGCAAUACACACCAUUCAAUGAGUGUUUUAUAUUGCAUCAUCUCCAUCUUCACUACUAGAACCUUUAUUGUCGGCAAGGUUCGAAGGAUCACGACGAGAAUGAUUAGCAUAGGGGAAGGCUCACAAGAUCAGGGAAUUGGAAAAGCACCACUUACAAGAAGAUUGGCCAGCUAAUCUUGAAGUAGAUUAAAUUAUGCGUCGCUCUUUUCUAGCUGAACUUGAAGGGUACCAAAUUGUUCAUCUCUCUUUUGUUCUCUAGCCUUUGUCUCUUCAAGCUCUGCUGUCAGCUUUGCGAUCUUCUAUUCCAUGGACGAGAUAGUCGACCUAUCAAUUGCCUCGCCUUGAGAGGAACCCUAUACCUUGCAAUCCAUCCCUGUAGCGCCGAAAUGAUCUCUAGAAGUCGUACGAUAUCCCCUGUUUGGGAACACCAACAAUAUCCAACCACAUCCUCCGCUUCUUCGUCUAAAAGGGGCGGUCGCUCGCCUUAAUCAUUCGGUG
RNAcentral lists this long non-coding RNA (526 nucleotides) under Nicotiana benthamiana. RNAcentral describes it as "long non-coding RNA (NBEN_LNC018953)". Lineage: Eukaryota; Viridiplantae; Streptophyta; Magnoliopsida; Solanales; Solanaceae. The record is from RNAcentral.